This 508-nucleotide ribosomal RNA is filed under the name uncultured bacterium. Its description in RNAcentral is "partial 16S ribosomal RNA". It matches the Rfam family "Bacterial small subunit ribosomal RNA", at positions 30 to 523 of the family's 1533-position model. The record is from RNAcentral.
AUUGAACGCUGGCGGCAUGCCUUACACAUGCAAGUCGAACGGCAGCGGGGGAGAAGCUUGCUUUUCCUGCCGGCGAGUGGCGAACGGGUGAGUAAUACAUCGGAACGUGCCCUGUAGUGGGGGAUAACUAGUCGAAAGAUUAGAUAAUACCGCAUACGACCUGAGGGUGAAAGUGGGGGACCGCAAGGCCUAAUGCUAUAGGAGCGGCCGAUGUCUGAUUAGCUAGUUGGUGGGGUAAAGGCCUACCAAGGCGACGAUCAGUAGCUGGUCUGAGAGGACGAUCAGCCACACUGGGACUGAGACACGGCCCAGACUCCUACGGGAGGCAGCAGUGGGGAAUUUUGGACAAUGGGCGAAAGCCUGAUCCAGCAAUGCCGCGUGUGUGAAGAAGGCCUUCGGGUUGUAAAGCACUUUUGUCCGGAAAGAAAUGGCUCUGGUUAAUACCUGGGGUCGAUGACGGUACCGGAAGAAUAAGGACCGGCUAACUACGUGCCAGCAGCCGCCGUAA